This is a long non-coding RNA of Telopea speciosissima, 722 nucleotides long. RefSeq lists it as uncharacterized. The record is from RefSeq and is a predicted model, not a curated record. NCBI's taxonomy places the organism in Eukaryota, Viridiplantae, Streptophyta, Magnoliopsida, Proteales, Proteaceae. The transcript is spliced from 2 exons.
GCAGGGUGGAUAACCAUUCGUUUGAUGGAUCAUGUUGACAAAGCUCCAAGUCGAAAAAUUGGUUAUUCAUACAGCUUAGCUGAUUACCACGCUUUCUGGAGUCAUCAGAUGGUGAUGGCUUCAUGUUUGUUAUGAGCUUAAUGAAGCCUGUUCUUUUGAGUCUUUUCAGAUUGGUCUAGAGUUGAGCCUUGUGGUCCUCUGACCAGAAAUGUGACUUGUUAAGGUCAGAUUGUUGUAUACUUUGUCUUUCAGUUAUCUAAUUAUUUUUUUGUUCCAUGGUUGCUAAAUAUUCUUGUAUAGUCUGAAUGCUUUUCAUACUUGGUUUUCAAAGCUGACCAUGAAUUUGAUAUUGAAGUGCGAGUGAUCUAGGGGCGCUCCAUCAACUGUUGGUUGAUCAACCUAAUAUUCCCAAAGAGGAAGUGAAGUCCAUUUUUGAUAUCAUAUUGGCUGAAGAAAUCUGUUGAACUUUAUGCCAUGUCCAAUUCCUUGCCAGUUUGGGGUUUUUGACUGCUAGGAAGCUUAGCAUUCUGUUUGAUUUUAAUUGCUUAUCGGGCGCAUCAGUUGAAUUGAAGUCCAUCGUUCAGGAAACAUACUGCAUGUUAAUAACAGUAUAACAGCAGGAGCAAACUCUAGAAAUUCCUUGGCUGUAACAGGAUUCAUUUCUUCUGUAUUUAGAGAAAAAUGGAUCAAAUGGUUUUGAUGCUUUUAUUGGGAUGAUUUUU